GGGUUGUGAGGUUAAGUGACUAAGCGUACACGGUGGAUGCCUAGGCAGUCAGAGGCGAUGAAGGGCGUGCUAAUCUGCGAAAAGCGUCGGUAAGGUGAUAUGAACCGUUACAACCGGCGAUACCCGAAUGGGGAAACCCAGUGUGUUUCGACACAUUAUCAUGUCAUGAAUACAUAGUGGCAUGAGGCGAACCGGGGGAACUGAAACAUCUAAGUACCCCGAGGAAAAGAAAUCAACCGAGAUUCCCCCAGUAGCGGCGAGCGAACGGGGAGGAGCCCAGAACCUGAAUCGGCUUGUGUGUUAGUGGAAGCGUCUGGAAAGUCGCGCAGUAAAG
RNAcentral lists this ribosomal RNA (334 nucleotides) under Serratia marcescens. RNAcentral describes it as "bacterial LSU rRNA". It matches the Rfam family "Bacterial large subunit ribosomal RNA", at positions 1 to 362 of the family's 2925-position model. Lineage: Bacteria; Pseudomonadati; Pseudomonadota; Gammaproteobacteria; Enterobacterales; Yersiniaceae. The record is from RNAcentral.